RNAcentral lists this ribosomal RNA (496 nucleotides) under uncultured bacterium. RNAcentral describes it as "partial 16S ribosomal RNA". It matches the Rfam family "Bacterial small subunit ribosomal RNA", at positions 28 to 506 of the family's 1533-position model. The record is from RNAcentral.
GAUGAACGCUGGCGGCGUGCCUAAUACAUGCAAGUCGAGCGAACAGACGAGGAGCUUGCUCCUCUGACGUUAGCGGCGGACGGGUGAGUAACACGUGGAUAACCUACCUAUAAGACUGGGAUAACUUCGGGAAACCGGAGCUAAUACCGGAUAAUAUAUUGAACCGCAUGGUUCAAUAGUGAAAGACGGUUUUGCUGUCACUUAUAGAUGGAUCCGCGCCGCAUUAGCUAGUUGGUAAGGUAACGGCUUACCAAGGCAACGAUGCGUAGCCGACCUGAGAGGGUGAUCGGCCACACUGGAACUGAGACACGGUCCAGACUCCUACGGGAGGAAGCAGUAGGGAAUCUUCCGCAAUGGGCGAAAGCCUGACGGAGCAACGCCGCGUGAGUGAUGAAGGUCUUCGGAUCGUAAAACUCUGUUAUUAGGGAAGAACAAAUGUGUAAGUAACUAUGCACGUCUUGACGGUACCUAAGCAGAAAGCCACGGCUACCUACGU